AGAGUUUGAUCCUGGCUCAGGAUGAACGCUGGCGGCGUGCCUAAUACAUGCAAGUCGAACGCACUGUGGUUCAACUGAUUUGAAGAGCUUGCUCUGAUAUGACGAUGAACAUUGCAGUGAGUGGCGAACGGGUGAGUAACACGUGGGAAACCUACCUCUUAGCGGGGGAUAACAUCUGGAAACAGAUGCUAAUACCGCAUAACACUAGCAACCGCAUGGUUGCUACUUGAAAGAUGGUUCUGCUAUCACUAAGAGAUGGUCCCGCGGCGCAUUAGUUAGUUGGUGAGGUAAUGGCUCACCAAGACGAUGAUGCGUAGCCGAGUUGAGAGACUGAUCGGCCACAAUGGGACUGAGACACGGCCCAUACUCCUACGGGAGGCAGCAGUAGGGAAUCUUCCACAAUGGACGAAAGUCUGAUGGAGCAACGCCGCGUGUGUGAUGAAGGGUUUCGGCUCGUAAAACACUGUUGUAAGAGAAGAAUAGCAUCAAGAGUAACUGCUUGGUGUGUGACGGUAUCUUACCAGAAAGGAACGGCUAAAUACGUGCCAGCAGCCGCGGUAAUACGUAUGUUCCAAGCGUUAUCCGGAUUUAUUGGGCGUAAAGCGAGCGCAGACGGUUUUUUAAGUCCGAAGUGAAAGCCCACAGCUUAACUGUGGAAGUGCUUUGGAAACUGGAUGACUUGAGUGCAGUAGAGGAGAGUGGAAUUCCAUGUGUAGCGGUGAAAUGCGUAGAUAUAUGGGAGGAACACCAGUGGCGAAGCGGCUCUCUGGACUGUAACUGACGUGAGGCUCGAAAGUGUGGGUAGCAAACAGGAU
This 815-nucleotide ribosomal RNA is filed under the name uncultured bacterium. Its description in RNAcentral is "bacterial SSU rRNA". It matches the Rfam family "Bacterial small subunit ribosomal RNA", at positions 8 to 778 of the family's 1533-position model. The record is from RNAcentral.